CUCCUGAGUCGGGGUGACAGCGUCCCGCUGCUGGGAAAGUGGGCGGGGCCGCGCGGGGUAGUCCUAGAUCUGCAGUGUGCGAGUUUGCCGGAUGUGACUGUAACUUCGCUAGCUAAAAUGCUUGAGAGCGGACCCUUCAUCCCUUUGAGCAUGUUUCUUCCUAAAAUGCGCGGAUACCGGGAGAUCAAGAUGAGGGAUGUCAUGUGCCUUGUGAACUGUCACCCGCCGUGCACAGAGUCUCUCUCUAUCCCCCAGGCUGAAGCGCAGUGGCACAAUCUCAGCUGACUGCAACCUCCGCCUCCCGAGUUCAAGCGAUUCUUAUGCCUCAGCCUCCUGAGUAGCUGGGAUUACAGCUGCCUGCCACCACGCCUGGCUAAUUUUUGUAUUUUUAGUAGAGUUGGGGUUUUGCCAUUUUGGCCAGGCUGGUCUCGAACUCCUGACCUCGGGUGAUCCACCCGCCUCGGCCUCCCAAGUACUGGAAUUACAGGCGUGAGCCACCGCACCCGGCCCUCCCCCAACUUAUUUCAGAAUAUUUGAUGCUGUAUUUCCACCAGCCAGAGUUCCCUGAGAGCGGGGGCUACAUCUUGUACCGUAACUGUGAACGAGGCCUAGCAGAGCCUGGUAGAAGUUCCAUGUUUGGUUGAAGGAAUGAAUGUGGUGUGGAUGCCUCUCCUCUUAUCCACUCCUCUCCUCAAUCUGGUUGAUGGGCAGGUGGCGUCCAUUUGUCUGAAGAGGUAAAUGAUAGGAAGAAACUCUAGCCACCACCAUGCACACAGAUUUCCUGACUUCCAACUCAAGUUUCUUUCCUCUUCAUCACACAGGAUAUCUCCAAUUCAUUGCAACUGUUUCAGGAUACCAACUGUUGGGCAGAAGCACAAAUGGGAGCGGGUUGAACCCACUUUCACCUACUGAGCAUAUUCCAUACUGGUCAUCAGAAUGUUUAGAUAGUAUGUUAAUAUGUCAGUUGUUAAGCCUAUGAAGAAUAUAUGUUAAAAGAAGCAAUGUGGCCAGGCAAGCUGGCUCAUGCUUGUAAUCCCAGCGCUUUAAGAGGCUGAGGCAGGAGGAUCCCUUGAGGCCAGGAGUUCAAGACCAGCGUGGGCAACAGGCUUCAAAAAAGAAGAAAUGUAAAAGCAGAGAUGUGAACAAGAGAUAGAGUGCAUCUUUGUUGCUUGGGUGCUCCCCCUGUUGUCCAAUGGCAGAAGCUCCACGUCUUCCUCUGAGGGCUGAAUCUGGUUCUACUUGUGCCCAUUGGAUCCUCUUAUUGAUGAGGGUUACAAAGGCCGAGAUUGGCCUGCCAGAGAGACCCACAGCACCUCUUCAGACUUACUACCUUCUUUCCUUUCCUUCUUUUGACAAAUAUGUAUUGAGCACUCCUAGUCCAGGAAUUGUACCAAAUGCCCAGAAUAUAAAUGAACAAGACAUGGUCCUCAACCACCACCCUAGAGACAGGCAUAAAAAGAACUGACAGUAACAAGCCCCUAAUUUCAUGUAGUAAAUUAUAUCUAAUAAAGUGCCUUCGCUUUUCAUGGAA
Homo sapiens (human) is the source of this 1531-nucleotide long non-coding RNA. RefSeq lists it as uncharacterized. The transcript is spliced from 2 exons. Lineage: Eukaryota; Metazoa; Chordata; Mammalia; Primates; Hominidae. The record is from RefSeq and is a predicted model, not a curated record.